UGGUGGAGCGAUUUGUCUGGUUAAUUCCGAUAACGAACGAGACUCUAGCCUGCUAAAUAGUUCAUCGAUCCAUAUCGCGUCGAUGCAACUUCUUAGAGGGACAAGUGGCUUUUAGUCCACACGAGAUUGAGCAAUAACA
Molecule: ribosomal RNA, 139 nt
Filed under: uncultured eukaryote
Lineage: Eukaryota
Description: partial 18S ribosomal RNA
Rfam family: Eukaryotic small subunit ribosomal RNA
Source: RNAcentral